GUGCGCAAGUCGCAGGGCUGUACGAAACCCGGAGGCGCAAUGAAAGUGAACGCCUGACUCGAUUCAGGCCUUGGUGGGAUCCCGAGAAGAGUUUACUCUCGACGGGCGCACCACCGGCCCGUCUCAGCCGCAGCGUCGGCGAGGCGGAGCAAGAGCGUACUUGUUGGGACCCGAAAGAUGGUGAACUAUGCCUGAGCAGGACGAAGCCAGAGGAAACUCUGGUGGAGGUCCGCAGCGAUUCUGACGUGCAAAUCGAUC
This 258-nucleotide ribosomal RNA is filed under the name Erpobdella dubia. RNAcentral's name for it is "partial 28S ribosomal RNA". It matches the Rfam family "Eukaryotic large subunit ribosomal RNA", at positions 682 to 903 of the family's 3401-position model. The record is from RNAcentral. Lineage: Eukaryota; Metazoa; Annelida; Clitellata; Hirudinida; Erpobdellidae.